UGGGGAAUAUUGCACAAUGGGGGAAACCCUGAUGCAGCGACGCCGCGUGAGCGAAGAAGGCUUUCGAGUCGUAAAGCUCUGUCCUAUGAGAAGAUAAUGACGGUAUCAUAGGAGGAAGCCCUGGCUAAAUACGUGCCAGCAGCCGCGGUAAUACGUAUGGGGCGAGCGUUGUCCGGAAUUAUUGGGCGUAAAGGGUACGUAGGCGGUUUUUUAAGUCUGAUGUGAAAGCCCACGGCUUAACCGUGGAAGUGCAUUGGAAACUGGGAAGCUUGAGUACAGAAGAGGAAAGUGGAACUCCAUGUGUAGCGGUGGAAUGCGUAGAUAUAUGGAAGAAAACCAGUGGCGAAAGCGACUUUCUGGUCUGUCACUGACGCUGAGGCCCGAAAGCGUGGGUAGCAAACAGG
Molecule: ribosomal RNA, 404 nt
Filed under: Verrucomicrobiota bacterium
Lineage: Bacteria; Pseudomonadati; Verrucomicrobiota
Description: Verrucomicrobia bacterium partial 16S ribosomal RNA
Rfam family: Bacterial small subunit ribosomal RNA
Source: RNAcentral